RNAcentral lists this ribosomal RNA (272 nucleotides) under uncultured Staphylococcus sp. RNAcentral describes it as "partial 16S ribosomal RNA". It matches the Rfam family "Bacterial small subunit ribosomal RNA", at positions 90 to 355 of the family's 1533-position model. Lineage: Bacteria; Bacillati; Bacillota; Bacilli; Caryophanales; Staphylococcaceae. The record is from RNAcentral.
CGUUAGCGGCGGACGGGUGAGUAACACGUGGGUAACUUACCUAUAAGACUGGGAUAACUUCGGGAAACCGGAGCUAAUACCGGAUAAUAUUUCGAACCGCAUGGUUCGAUAGUGAAAGAUGGUUUUGCUAUCACUUAUAGAUGGACCUGCGCCGUAUUAGCUAGUUGGUAAGGUAACGGCUUACCAAGGCGACGAUACGUAGCCGACCUGAGAGGGUGAUCGGCCACACUGGAACUGAGACACGGUCCAGACUCCUACGGGAGGCAGCAGCC